This 253-nucleotide ribosomal RNA is filed under the name uncultured bacterium. Its description in RNAcentral is "partial 16S ribosomal RNA". It matches the Rfam family "Bacterial small subunit ribosomal RNA", at positions 524 to 776 of the family's 1533-position model. The record is from RNAcentral.
UACGGAGGGUGCGAGCGUUGUCCGGAUUUAUUGGGUUUAAAGGGUGCGUAGGCGGUUCCUUAAGUCAGUUGUGAAAUACGGCAGCUUAACUGUCGAGGUGCAAUUGAUACUGGGGAACUAGAGUACUGAUGAGGUAUGCGGAAUGGACGGUGUAGCGGUGAAAUGCUUAGAUAUCGUCCAGAACACCGAUAGCGAAGGCAGCAUACUAAGGAGUAACUGACGCUGAGGCACGAAAGUGUGGGGAUCAAACAGG